This 71-nucleotide transfer RNA is filed under the name Marmota monax (woodchuck). RNAcentral's name for it is "tRNA.Ala". It matches the Rfam family "tRNA". From Rfam's summary of the family: Transfer RNA (tRNA) molecules are approximately 80 nucleotides in length. Their secondary structure includes four short double-helical elements and three loops (D, anti-codon, and T loops). Lineage: Eukaryota; Metazoa; Chordata; Mammalia; Rodentia; Sciuridae. The record is from RNAcentral.
GGGGUUGUGGCUCAGCGGUAGAGCACUCGCCUGGCACGUGUGGGGCCUUCAGUUCGAUCCUCAGCACCACA